CAAUUAACUCACCAACUCAAUCUCCUGAUUACUAAUUAUCACCAGCUGAUCACUCCAGCACCAUACAUAAGGACUUGCCACACACACAAACACUUUGUCUGGUCUUGCCUAUGGCUAAGACUGCAUCUGUUCCGUUUGUUACUUACCUGAAGAUUACUUACCUCCUUGAUCCUCUCCUCGUCCUGGUUUCCAGUCUUCAACACCUCUUCUCCUUCCAGUCUCUUGGUGAUCCUCCUACAGGCAACAGGAAAGUGUUCAGUAUUUCUCAGUGACUGUUUACUAUUGUGUGUGUGGCUACUCACCAUUCUUCUCCCAACGCUGUAUUAUCACCUGCUCUGCUGCUAUAUUUCAUUCAACUCAUUUAAUAGUGUUUCUGGAUUGUUUGAAAACUUGCCGGUCUGUCCAGUGUGUGUUUCCCUGACAGAAGACCAGACUGAAAACCGAAUCCGGCAGCAUGAGCACUUCACAACACUAACCAUUUCAGGAAUUGGUGGAUUUGCUUCCCCAGUCUCUCUCUCACCCAACCACCAUUUACACCAGUCACUGCACCGAGCACUUCUUCGACCUCAUUGACCUUUGAGUGUUGUCCAAGCAAACUAUUUCCACCUCCAGAAGACCCCAUGUGAAAGACAUAAAGCCCAAGCCAUCACUGGAAACCCCUGAACCGUGCAGACAUCCGGUAUAGAGUGGGUCCAGUUCUUUCAUGUGUUGGAAUCCUUCACUAGGAGGAAAUUCACUUAGUGGUUCUGGAGAAUUCCACUGCUGGUGUCAUCCUACGGCAACUGUGGUUAAUACAACAUCCAGAACUCUCUUGGGAAAAUGGUGAGAGAAAGAAAUGGAGCAAGUGAUGUUUGCCUAUGUAACCACUUCAACUCUAGAAGGGGCAGUGAUCAGUAGUAGUCUACUCUACCUCCAUUGAGAGUCCCGUGAGUGAGCAAUCCGUUGACAUCAAUGACUUAUACUCCCAGUUCAAAGAUGUCUUCUGUCCCAAGAGAGCUUCCCAGUUACCACCACACCGACCAUGGGACUGUGCUAUUGAUCUUCCAUGUGGACCAGUACACAGAGGCAAAAUCUAUCCUUUGACACUACCUGAACAAGACGCCAUGGAGUACAUUUGGAAGGACUUACAGCAAGGUAACAUCAGACCAUCUACGUCCCCUGCUGCUUUUAGGUUCUUUGUGGCAAAAAAGGAUGGAGGCUUGCAGUCCUGCAUUGAUUGAGCCCUCAAAAUGAUCAUAGUUAAAUUCAGAUACCCCCUUCCUCAUCCCAGCUGCCUUAGAACAUCUAAGGGAAGCCAAGGUUUUCACCAAGAUUUGGACCUCCAACCUUUUGCAGGAGAAAAAAGGUGAAUGUCCUUGCAUGGCCUAGUCAGAGCCCAGACUUAAACUCCACUGAAAAUCUAUGGAUUGACUUGAUGACUGCAGUCCACAAAUGGUCACCAUCAAAUUUAACUGAACCUGAGCAGUUCUGCAAAGAAGAGUGAGCAAAUAUUGUGAAGUCUAGAUGUGCAAAGUUAGUAGAGACUAGUCACAACAGACUAAAGGCUGUAAAUAAAGCAAAAGGUGGUUCAACAAAAUACUGACACAAG
Long non-coding RNA from Cyprinus carpio carpio, 1588 nucleotides. NCBI's taxonomy places the organism in Eukaryota, Metazoa, Chordata, Actinopteri, Cypriniformes, Cyprinidae. The record is from Ensembl.